CCUACGGGAGGCAGCAGUGAGGAAUAUUGGUCAAUGGACGAGAGUCUGAACCAGCCAAGUAGCGUGAAGGAUGACUGCCCUAUGGGUUGUAAACUUCUUUUAUAUGGGAAUAAAAUGUUCCACGUGUGGGUUUUUGUAUGUACCAUAUGAAUAAGGAUCGGCUAACUCCGUGCCAGCAGCCGCGGUAAUACGGAGGAUCCGAGCGUUAUCCGGAUUUAUUGGGUUUAAAGGGAGCGUAGGUGGAUUGUUAAGUCAGUUGUGAAAGUUUGCGGCUCAACCGUAAGAUUGCAGUUGAAACUGGCAGUCUUGAGUACAGUAGAGGUGGGCGGAAGUCGUGGUGUAGCGGUGAAAUGCUUAGAUAUCACGAAGAACUCCGAUUGCGAAGGCAGCUCACUGGACUGCAACUGACACUGAGGCUCGAAAGUGUGGGUAUCAAACAGGAUUAGAUACCCUUGUAGUC
RNAcentral lists this ribosomal RNA (460 nucleotides) under uncultured bacterium. RNAcentral's name for it is "partial 16S ribosomal RNA". It matches the Rfam family "Bacterial small subunit ribosomal RNA", at positions 338 to 795 of the family's 1533-position model. The record is from RNAcentral.